GGCUUGCCGCCCAUGACCGGAUGCAUGUGAUGGCUCGGUGUCUUCGGGUGCUGGGACUGUCCCGUCUGUAACAUCCGCGUUCAUGACCAGAUGCAGCGCACAGCGUGACCCGUGCUCGCAUCCAGGUAGACUUCGGCAGGGUGGCCAUCAGGAAAGCUGAUCUCCCACACGCAAGAUGAGGGGCACGUUAUGUGUUUUACCGCAUAACUGGCUGUAGUACAGCUUUACAGGCUCACCAUCUACGCGUAGCCCUGCUAUUACUGCUUCCUACUCAUAGCUAAAUCUAGUCUGUCAAAGCGUGAACUGUCACACCCUCUCCACAGCACUUUCUGUCCCUGUCAAACUCUUCCACAUCUCCUUUUGCAUUGACUAUGCACACGUUCGCACAAGUAGCACUCUGUCACUCUCACACAAGUACACGCAGUCAGGUACCACCAUGUGUUUACAGCAUGAUGGACGCACGCACAGCCUUACAGACUCCUCACGUACAUCUAUAACCCAUGAAUGCAGCUUCUGAGACAGCACUAACCUAUUAUCCGUACCACACCAGCUGAGAAUGUUCUGCCAACUCACCACCCUCCUGUGGCGUAUCCCCCCCUCCUGUUCUACUUUGUUUGCCGUGGUCACCCAG
RNAcentral lists this long non-coding RNA (631 nucleotides) under Chlamydomonas reinhardtii. Its description in RNAcentral is "long non-coding RNA (CREI_LNC000671)". Lineage: Eukaryota; Viridiplantae; Chlorophyta; Chlorophyceae; Chlamydomonadales; Chlamydomonadaceae. The record is from RNAcentral.